CCGGAAUUGCUAGUAAUGGCAGGUCAGCAUACUGCCGUGAAUACGUUCCCGGGCCUUGUACACACCGCCCGUCACACCAUGAGAGUUGGGAAUACCCGAAGCCUGUGAGCUAACUUUUAGAGGCAGCAGUCGAAGGUAGAAUCAAUGAUUGGGGUGAAGUCGUAACAAGGUACC
Molecule: ribosomal RNA, 174 nt
Filed under: uncultured bacterium
Lineage: Bacteria
Description: partial 16S ribosomal RNA
Rfam family: Bacterial small subunit ribosomal RNA
Source: RNAcentral